GCAGUCGAGCGAAUGGAUUGAGAGCUUGCUCUCAAGAAGUUAGCGGCGGACGGGUGAGUAACACGUGGGUAACCUGCCCAUAAGACUGGGAUAACUCCGGGAAACCGGGGCUAAUACCGGAUAACAUUUUGAACCGCAUGGUUCGAAAUUGAAAGGCGGCUUCGGCUGUCACUUAUGGAUGGACCCGCGUCCCAUUAGCUAGUUGGUGAGGUAACGGCUCACCAAGGCA
RNAcentral lists this ribosomal RNA (229 nucleotides) under Bacillus pacificus. RNAcentral describes it as "partial 16S ribosomal RNA". It matches the Rfam family "Bacterial small subunit ribosomal RNA", at positions 60 to 275 of the family's 1533-position model. Lineage: Bacteria; Bacillati; Bacillota; Bacilli; Caryophanales; Bacillaceae. The record is from RNAcentral.